This 422-nucleotide ribosomal RNA is filed under the name uncultured bacterium. RNAcentral describes it as "bacterial SSU rRNA". It matches the Rfam family "Bacterial small subunit ribosomal RNA", at positions 355 to 774 of the family's 1533-position model. The record is from RNAcentral.
UGAGGAAUAUUGGGCAAUGCCCGCAAGGGUGACCCAGCAACGCCGCGUGGAGGAUGAAUGUCGUAAGAUUGUAAACUCCUGUUAGAGGGGAAGAAUAGUACCGGUUGGACCGGUAUAUGACUGUACCCUCAGAGAAAGCCCCGGCUAACUACGUGCCAGCAGCCGCGGUAAUACGUAGGGGGCAAGCGUUGUCCGGAUUUACUGGGUGUAAAGGGCGCGCAGGCGGGAUAAAAAGUCAGUGGUGAAAUCCUACAGCUUAACUGUAGAACUGCCUUUGAUACUUUUAUUCUUGAGUUCGGGAGAGAGAGACGGAAUUCCAGGUGUAGUGGUGAAGUACGUAGAUAUCUGGAAGAACACCGGUUGCGAAGGCGGUCUCUUGGUCCGACACUGACGCUGAGGCGCGAAAGCGUGGGGAGCAAACA